Molecule: long non-coding RNA, 10916 nt
Filed under: Setaria viridis
Lineage: Eukaryota; Viridiplantae; Streptophyta; Magnoliopsida; Poales; Poaceae
Description: long non-coding RNA (SVIR_LNC003761)
Source: RNAcentral
CUGAGGAUUGAGUGAAGCAAGUUGCGGCUGAGUUGAUGAAGCUUUUAGUAGCUAUCGUUAUUAAGAGUUUGUAUAACUGAGAGUUGCUCUGGAGAUGCUAUCUUGCAAUAAGAGAGCUUAUGUCGUGUACUAGUAACUUCCCUGUGAAAUGUUUGUUAGACCAUGAGUUUUCUCUGAUAAACCUGCAUGUCCUGAAACGAAAAGAUCUUGUUACUUCUCUUUUGUUAGCACUGAGCUUCUGUGAGGGCUUUAGAUUUACUUACCAAUCAGCCAUCAAUUUUAUUCUUCACAGGGUUGUCACUCGUAUUCGAAAAUACAAUUCACAGAAAUCCAUAACAUAGAGCCCACGAUUACUAUGAUAUUAAUCAUAUCAUUGACAUCACCUGCUUUCUUCCGCAAGUGCAAAUAAAGCACGCUAACAGAAAUCGAAAUAAUCAAAUCACAUCAUCUAAAUGACCGGUACCUAUUGACAGCAAUUCGAGAGUAGCAAAGCAAAUCGUCACAAUGUAGCUAACAUGGACCUUCAUAACAGUAAAUAUUGCGGUGGCAUUUAACGAAACAACAUAAAGUAGAAAACAUCAAAGCGUUAACGGUACUUCAAUCACUCCAUAAACAACAGUCUGGUCCAUGAGCAACAUGGCAUGAUUGUAGCUCAAACGGUCCGCAGCCCAAAUCACUUGCAGAGCUAAGUAAGGCCAGCUAAACUGACAGUAGACCACAUCUUUUUUAAGCCAUGAUCUUGGCCGAUCUCAUGUAAAGGCUGUCCACAACCUUCCCGACAUUUGUGAUCGUCUCGAGCGUGGCAGGGAAGAUCUCCUCGGUCUUGGUAUCCUCGAAGAUGAUGAGGCAGCCAGCGCCCUGAUCCAGAGUCCCCGCGAAUUUCUUGUCGAGGAUCAUCUGGGACAGCUUCUUCUCAACAUGGUCGAUCGGCAGCUCAAUCAUCUCUGCUAUGUGUGCAAUCUCCACCCUAGAGUAGGGCUCAAUCAACCUGCAGAGGUUCUGCUCCAGGAGGGUAUCGUAAAGCGACGAGAGGUGCCUAUGGACGAUAGGAUCUUCCUCCAGCUGGGACUUGUAGUCACGGAGAGCAGUUUCAAAGUACUUCAGAGACCUUUUGGAGUAGGCAUCGGCCACAGCUUUCAUGGCAUCAACAUCAGGACCCAGAUACUUCAGGCCAGCCUUUGAUGAGAUGAUUCCUGCAACAUCAUCGGCUUGGUUGACCAUUAUCUUGCACAGAAGCAUGUACUUCAAGCUGAAGAUGGCCUUAGGAUCCUCCAGAGAAUUGAAAGCUUCAAAUGCUUCGAAGAAGUAGCUGUAAGCAGUCUUGUAGUCCUUUUCUUCAGCAUGAAGGAUUCCACUCUGCAGAUCAAUAGUGCCCUGCUGAGAUGGUGGCACAUAAAUGGCAUUGGCUGCAGUUCUAGCAGCAGUCAGAGAAGCUUUGGCCUUUGGCAGAUUUCUCAGAGAGAAAUGGAGUUUGCUCUCCAGAAGGUCAAUGUCCACAAGAAGCAACUUGUCGUCCAGCCUCCUGACUUCCUUGAUGAGACCAGAAAGGAGCGUAAGGGCCUCGGUAUAAUCCUGAUUCUCUAACAGAAGGGCUGCCAGCCUUGCUUCCACACGCUGCCUGAGGAAGGUACGCUUCUCUGUACGGGUCCAUUCCACCAUCUCCUUGCAGAGUGAGAUCUGAAGCUCAGAAGUUCCAGGUAUCUUGGCAACAGCAUCAAUGAUGCCACGCACAAUCUUCGCAGUCUUUGCCUUCGGGAUCACAGCAAAAAAGGGCCUGAGCUGGGUCAAAAGAUUCCUGAGAUCCUCAGCUCUGUUUUCUUUUGUGAGGUAGUUUGUCAGAUUUGUAAUGGCAAGCUCUUUUACUCUCAGUGCAUCCGCUGAAGAAGAUGGGUCUUCGAGCACACGGUAGAGGAUUGAGAUGGACUCAGACGCAUCCUUGGCUUCCUGAGCCUUUGAUAUCGACUCAGUGGUAGCAGGAAGGUACGGUGAUUGCACCGAAGUAGACAUCGCCACUCCCUAGUACGAGAGUUUACUGCACAUGGUUAGAAAAUAAAACAGGGAUGGUCAAAAUGUAAAAGGAAUAAGUAAUACAGGGCAUUGCGGGAUAUGGUACGCACAUCAGCACAUAUACGAAAAGAAAGUCUACUCACAAAGUAAAUAAACAACUUCAACAGAAAACUAAUAACCAGUCGCAGUAUACAGAUGUUUGAUCAUGCCCACAAGAAAAAAAUGUAUGCGGAUGGAACCAGCAAUCAUGCACUACCCUACCUAACAAAAAAGGGGGUCUCAGGAUUUAGAAACCAAUUAUCAAAGUGAGAUAUUGUGCAUUCUGAAUCAGAUAGGCAGCUAUGCCACACUGCAAUUGAGAGCCUACUCGUUUCUGCCUAAAACAUCAAAGGACAUGGACUCAUGACAGGAAAAGAAAAAGCAAGCACAUUGUUUCAUCUUGAACGGUUGAACCAAAACCAUGGAAUUUCAUUCAAAAUCGUUAGGAGAUCAAUAUACUUUGCAUCCACGGUCAGGUCACCGCCGCCAAAUAUUUGUGACAGGCAAAGCCUCUUCAGGACUACAAGAUGACACCUAACAGGCCAAUAGCCCAAUACAAGGCACUGUGGGGGAAAAAGCUUCCUUUUUUUUUUCUAGUUUGCAGUAUCACAAAUUGACUUACACAACUAAGUUCCACAAUCGAAAGGACCGGGACACCACUCUGCAUAAAACUAAAACAGUACACAGGAGGAACACGGCACUUGAGUAACUCGGCGAAACCCGCGCGCCAGAGGUGGCUCCUCGAACUAACAGCCUAGCCAACACACCAAGCGAGAUGCCGUACUCAGAGCAGAGAAGGGGGGCACGAAUUCGAGCACAGAUUGCGCCGAAAAAAAAGAAGAAGGGGCGUCCCCCGGCUACCUGCUUCCGAAGGGUAGCACGCGCGAUUCAACGAGCAGAUGCCUCGACCGGUAGGUCAAACGUAGCAAAAGAAUCCGCAACCAACCGCGAGCGCGGGGACCCCGAUCUGAUUCUACAGCUCGCCGGGAAGAAGAGACGAACAGAUCUCGCGGGAAGAACAAACACACUGAUCCGUAGGGGGGGGCAAGCUAGGGUUCCGUUUAUACCUUGCCGACGGAGGGAGAGGAAGUCGAUCCGAGCCCGGGGGGCAGGAGGCGGCGGCCGGCGUGCUCAGGUUCGGUGGAAGGAGGAGGCGUGAGGGUUCGUUCGGCUUCUCGAUGCGGCCGGCGGGGCCUCAGUUGAGUCCGCUCAGUCGAGUUUGAGAUUAUUUUUUUUUCUCUUGCUCUAUUCUAAAGAAAAGAAAGGCUUUCUUGUUUGUCAAGAAAGAAAAAAAGAAGAAGAAGAAGAAGAAGGCUUUAUAUGGCUCAGGCCCAGUUAGGAACGGGCCAGCUUUGGGCUGCUUGCUUUUCUGGAAGCCAUCUAGGAUUAGAACAAUCAAUCAGACUCGUCUAACAGGAAGAAUAGUAGUAGGAUAGUUUUCGAUAUAUAUAAAUUUCGCGUGUUAUGUAUAAAAUUAUUAUUUCUUAAAUGCAAACAAUCACAACCAUUAUGUUGACGGGAGGACAAAAGCGGCUGUCCCGGCAACGGAGGGGCAGGGGUGCGUGGCGGGUGUAGGCGACCGGCGAGGAGCGGCACGAGGCCCCGAUAGCGGCGGCGGCGGCAGCGCGAGGCUGGUGGUACUGAAGCUCGAAGCGGUGCGGCGAGCAGGUCGUGCAAGUUGGCGGUGGCGCGCACAGACGAGCGAGCUCGAUAGUGGCUCUGCAGUGAUGGCUGGAUCUAGGGUUGACGGAAUACAAACACCAUCCAUUUCAUCGUCCCUCGUCACUCAAAUCAAACAACAAAAUUGAAAUGUUCUUGUUCCUCCAACCAAACACCAACUGCUCUCACCGUUGGACAAGACAAUCGAUCGCGGUGGAUGGCGUUGUGGUGUCCCCCACAAGGACAAGACAACGGCUCUCACCGCCCAUCUAUGCGCGUGGUCUCGGUGCACGCUCCCUCCCCCAUCAACUACGCCAACCUCUACUCAGAUGUGGGAAGGGUGGACGCCGCGCCACUGAUCGAGCCGUUCACGAAUUGGAGGCGUGCCCCACAGUGCGCGCGAUGAACAAGACGAGCUCGCCCGGCCUGAACGGCUUUGGGCCGGCGUUCUACGCGGCAUCGUGGCCUACGGUGGCGCCGGCUGUCAUGGACUUGGCUAAGGCGUUCCAGGACUGCAUUGCUGAACUCGAGCGCCUCAACCGGUCCUACGUCGUCCUGAUACCGAAGCACACUGCCCAGGAUGCCACACCCUGCUGCUCCAGACCAAUCGUGCCCAGUUCUGCAGUAUGCAGAUGAUACGCUCAUCCUACUCAGGGCGGACGUGGCUGAGCUAUCGGCGCUGAAGGAAGUGCUUGACCUAUUCUCUCUAGCUAAUGGGCUGCACAUCAACUAUCACAAAAGCACUACACCAAUGAGUGUGUCGGCCGAGAUGGCUACAUAGCUCCAGCAGAUCCUUGGCUGCCAGCUUGGGAAUUUCCCUCAAACGUACCUCGGGCUGCCACUAUCCAAUGAGAAGUUACGGCUCUCUGCUUUCAGCCCCUUGAUCGCCAAGGUUGACAAGCACCUCAGCGGCUGGAGCGUGUCCCUGCUGAACUCAACUGGGAGAGCAGUGCUGAUCAAUAGUGUGGUGGACAGCCAACUUACGUAUGCCAUGUCAGCUCUUCUACUGCCGCCUGGGAUUCUUGAUGCUCUAGAUCGGCGACGUCGACGCUUCCUGUGGUCCGGUGAGGAUCAUGUCAGUGGCGCCCAAUGUCUUGUCACGUGGGAAACCGCGUGUCAGCCAAAGGAGCAAGGGGGAAUCAGCCUCAAGGAUCUUUCCCUACAAAACAGGAGCCUCCUGCUCAAGCACCUGCACUGCCUCCAUCACCCUGAUGGCUCCUCUUAGGCCAAUUGGGUGCGCAGCCGCAUCGACAUUGCAAGCCUGCAGGGUGACGUCGAGGGCGCCCACUGGCGCAUCCUGGAAGAUCUGUUGCUGCUAUACCAAGCUCUCACCUGCUCUGCGGUGUCUGACGUCCUCUCCACAAGUUUAGGGCAUGAUCGCUGGUGUGCGAUUUGUUCCCUCUCCUUUUCUCCCAUGCCGUCAACACGGAGCAAUCAGUAACGCAAGUGCUGGCCGACGGGCUGGGCGCGCAUCUUGCUCCACGCCUGUCGUGCCGGGCCGGUGAAGAGCUGCACCAGUUAACAGCUUUGCUGGAUCGGGUCACGCUCCGGGAUGACGUGGACCAACGCCUGUCUCCUCUUCUCAGUGAUGCCUCAAGUCUACGAUCUGGUGCUGUCUACACCAAGCUCGUGCAAACGUCGGGAUCGCCACCACCCCCCUUCGUCAAGUUCGUCUGGAAGAACCGCGGGCCACCACGGGUGCAGUUCUUUGUGUGGCUUUUGGUGCAGGGCAGGAUCCAAUGCCGUGCCAACCUGGUAAUGAAAAACAUCAUCGAGGAUGCGUGGUGCGAGCUCUGUGGGCAGGUCGAAGAUUGCGACCACAUUGUCUUUCGCUGCCCCUUUGCGGCGAGUAUUUGGAGCUCCCUUGGCGCGAACACAACAAGCUCCUUUGUCCAAAGCCUAUGGACUAUUCACCGUCCGGCAAUGGUUCCUGCGCAACACUAUGACAGCUUUCUGCUCCUUCUUUGCUAGAUGCUCUGGAAACACAGGAAUGAUCUUGUGUUCCAGCGAGCUCGUCCCUCGCGCCAGCGCUUCUGGACAUCCUGCCGAGAUGAGGGUCAGCUCUGGAGCGAGCGCUUUAGGGCGUCUGACCGCGUCAUUGCUAACACUUGGUGCGCCAUUUUUGUUUCAAUGUAAACUUGAUGCUAGAAACAGUUUCUCCCUCCUCCCCUCCUUGUUUUUGCUGAACUAAACCAUGUAAAGAUGUUUGGCCAAAAAUCGCCUGUAAAAAAAAACACCAACUGGGAUUUUUGCUCAUCCUAAAAAAAGAGGAUGACCAUAUUCCGUCCUGUCCCUUCACUCCAUUCAAACACACCAUAAACUACGAAACACCGAACCCUAUCCUCACAGCCACCACCAUUAUUAGCAUACAUCCACUUCAUCCAAUAGCAACCCCAUGUUGCCCAAUGCUCGGCAUCCAGAUUGGAGGAGAUAGGAUAGUUAGAUUCAAACGAUAGCCUCAGUGAUACAAGAGAUAAUAUAGUGGCACACGUGGAGACUCCCAUAUGGGUGGACCCCCCCCCCCUAAAAAAAAUCAAACCCCCUUCUAAUAUGGGAUAUGUACAUGUGUUUCUUUUUUCAAGUAACAUUCUUACAUUUUAGAUUGAGUGUUUAUUCAAAUUGUUGGCUAUUGAUGUUUUUUCUUGAAAAGUCUUGACCCUAUAAAAUUAGAAGUGUUGUGAAUUUUAUAUCUUUGACGAAAUGUGCAGGAAGAAAUUCAAUCAGAGUCACAUCUACCAAACCUCAAUAUUUUUUUCCACUAAAGGCCUCACCCGAAUUUCAUUACUAGAACAGCAACGAAAUUACAAAGUUUGAUAGUUUUAGGUUCCAGGACUGGUGACCACCAACAGUUUCAAGCGAUGCCAUCAACAGAGUGGCACACAAAGCUUUCUAACUGAGGCUUGCAGAAAGACCAAACCGUUGCUAACAAUCGAUGUACUGUAAACCUAAAAGUGAAUUUCCUCAAUGCCACUGAAAUUUAUAAUGAUCCCUGCAAUGCCAUCGAAAUUUUUGGCUUUCUUCAUUGCCAUUAGUUUAAAUUUGCAUUCCCUUCCUUGCCAUUGCCGUUAGCUUUCCGUUAGGAGAGAGUUAAGAGACGAGUAAAAUAAUGAUUUUGCCCUGGUCCAUCGUGCUCUGCGUCCUGCUCUUCAGAACGGCAGAACCGCCGUCCUCUCGUCGGUAAUGGCAGUGGCAGUGUCCUUGAGGAGGAGGUUCUCGGUCUUCGAGAGCAGCGCGCCCGAAGCUCUUGAAACACGUCCAUGGGCCAUGGACCGAGAAGCUCUCGAACGGGUGCUCCAGCAUGUAGGCAGGGCUCAGCCGCUGCUUGUCAUCGUCGGAGUCGCAGUCAGAGUAGCAGCACUCUGCGGCGACCUCCUGCCCCUCGACGUCAUCGGCCAUCUUGACGGCGCCCAGGUGGUCGGGCCGUCGGGGCAAGGGACGGUGCCGCCGUCACGGCUGGGUUGUUGGUGGAAGUUCAACUCGGUGUUCAGCAUAUAAAGCUGUGUACGACCUGAAGGUCUGCAAGGAUGACAUUGACCACACAAGCUUCUUUGCUAGUGCUUGUGCUUGUGCUCGCUUGUGCAAGAACUGGAGUUGCUUCCUCAAAAAGAAAAAGAAUGAAUGAAUGAAUCAAAGAAAGAAAGGAAGGAAGGAAGAAAAUAGAACUGCAGCGCGGCGGUUUCCGCGGGGCUGCCGCCCUGCCACAGAGAAUAUGAGCAGGAGUUGGAGCCUGGAGGAGCCCGCCGGCGUGCUGCUGCUUCUUGCUGCCCCCCGCGCUCAUCUUGACCGUCUCGUUCUUCUUGCUCGUGAGCCGUCGGAGGCUUGGAGCACGGGGCCACGGCGUCGUUGCCAGCGGGCGGCCAUCACAUCGCGGUGUCGUAGCCGUGCCGACUGUCGAGGAGGCGCGACGAGCACCGCACUCUCCUUUUCUCGAGUCCGCUGCUUCAAGAUCAUCUGCCGCUUCUUCAAGCUCCCCACCAGGAAGCGGUGGGGCGGCGGCCGUGGGAACAUAUUGCGAAAGCAAAGUCGCGAAAAUCAAAGUCGUCGGCGCAGCUAGGCUUAGAGCUUCACGGUGUUCAGCAGUGGGCACAUAUUGUAAGUGGAACAAACUUAACGACAAUGGCAUCGAAGGGAAUGGAAAUUUCAAAUAGUGGCAGUAAAGGGAGGUGAAGAAUUUCGAUGGCAUUGAGGGGAUAAUUUUUAGUGGCAUUGAGGGAAUUCACUUUAAAUCUAAAUAGAAAAUAAAGUCUUCUCAUGUUCCACCAUGGGGAUGAUUUGUCAGGCAUUCCCGCUUCUACUAGAGCAGCACCAUUCCAGCAUCAUCCGUCGGUGCUUCCUGCGCAUGGAAGUGAAGCGUUGUUGUCUUCAUUGCUUCCGCUCCAGCCUCCAGGUUCCAUUUGUCUUCUGACUUCUGGAGACCUGCCCAAAAUGAUAUGAAAGUAGAUGCUGAACACACAAUCUCGAUAGGAGAUUUUAUAUAGAGUAAAAUAUACAGGUGGUCCCUGAACUUGUCAUAGGGUAUCAAUUAGGUCCUUAAACUUUUGAAAUGCAUUUUUAGAUUCAUGAACUUGUCUUACCCAAUCAUUAAACUUAUUUUGUUUUGUUGCGGGGAAUAGAAGAAAAGAAGGGAGGGAAGAUUUUUUUUAUUUGUUUAUGGGGGGCCUCUUUUUCUCCUGAGCUGGCCCGCAUGCAGCGACGGCGUGGCGUGGCGGGGCGGGUGGGGACGGUAGGGUUGGCUGGUUGGGGUCGGCUGCGAGGGGGGAUGCGGGCGCGGGAGCUGUAGGAUGGGGAACGGAGGGUCCGGAUCGAGGGGAGCGCGGGCAGCAAGCACGGGGGCCAGAUCUGAGACCUGGUGCGUUCCGACGGCAGACAGAUCCGGCGAAGCAAUGCGACAACCGCCUGUAAGCAACCAAGAGGAGAAAACGCGACCGAGCAUGACCUGGAGAUACCGUUAGGAAUGUUCCGCGGAAAUGCUACGAAAGUUGUAAAAUUCCAUUGCCACGCAAGUACGUAUGUACUGUAAAAUUCCAUCGUUCUAUCACAUUCACUCAUGAGUACUACUGCCAUUCUUUAUCACAGAUUCACAGUUAACAUGCAUUGCAACUUAAAAGAUCAUGGUGCAGCAACAAGACGAUGUUGGCACAUGCAUGACAGAGAAACAGAUAACGUGGGCAAAUGUCAGAUUAACCACGCGGUACUGGACUCUUGGCACAGGUUCGUGAUAGACAAAGGCACUCAUAGUUCAGAGAUCAGUCUGGCAGCAGGUUACACAAUAUCCUUGAGCAAUGGUUUUCAGGCGACUCAUGCGCCUUGGGGUUCAGGGAUCAGUCCCACAUCAUGCUCACAAAGUCACAACCCUUGGGUGUUUGUUUCAAGGCGACUCACGCAUCGGAUAAAGAUAAGACUAACCCACGGAGUUUUUAUGUCAGAUAUCAGGCACCAUGAAUUCAGAACCCCUGCUUCGCCCUUUCCUCAUACCUGUUCUUCUCAACCUGAAAACAUGGCUCAGAACGUUAGUACCACAUACAGGUAUCAACAUGACAUCUUAAAGAUAGACACGGAUGUUCAGCAUUCAAAAGUUAUUUGAAUUAAACUUCCGAAGACAAGAAUCGGAGGACAGUGCUGAUGCAUAACCUUUUUAGCAUGGCACAGCCAACCUAAGCAGCUAGAUCCUAGCAUUGUCGCCUCAUGGUUUUGUACAAAGGCAAACAGUUACAGCCAGGCACAACACAAAACAUGCCAGGUAAUCAGCAAGAAUCCCUACUAGUAGCAGCAGGCAGGUCUUAUUAACAGGAAUAUCACCACUUUGCUAACGUUCUGAAGAUUAACUUGACAUCAGAAGUUCCAGCUGUCAACUACCCAUUCAAAUUCUCAUAGGCUGUUAUUUUAAAGAUUCAUUAGAAGGCAUAAGGCUGUUAUUUAGCAUUUUGUACCUAGCAGAAGAUGCAUAAAAAACAGAACAAAUAAGACAUGCCCCAUGGUCUCCUCUUCCUAGUAGUGUUUUUAAUGUAAUUAUGUGGUUCAACACUAAUUAGCAAAUGCAUGUUAGGACAUUGGUAUCACUUCUGCCAUCUACAUCCUGAAAAAUAUAAGACAAAUGAUUCUUCAAACAUAACAUGAACACUUCCCAAAUACUUUAAAAUGGCAACGAUGCAUCAUAUUUAUAUCAAACCAACCCUUUUCUACUUCCAUAUCAAUUACUCCCAAACAAAGUUUCCUCCCCACACACACUCUGACUUGCUGUGCAUCAUGACUUAGGGCAAACAAAAUUUCACGUAUAUACAAUUGCCAAAGUCCAUGCCAUGCAGCUGGGAAAAUAAGAUAAUACCAAAAUUUGCAUAGUGAAACCAGCAAAUAAUUUUUUUCUAGCAUUCCAAUAACUCAAUACUUAUACAUGAGUACAAUGGGGUGGUAAGGAAAUGAGAUAAUCCUUCCAAAAGACAAAGAAUGUCAGAAUGAAUAUGUAAAUUUUAUCUAAUCCAAGCACGUGCCUUAAGUAUGUGUCAUCACAUAGUAAAAUUUUGGCACUUCCAUGAUACUCUUAAUGGCAUUAUUGUUAAGAGGACAACAUGGUAUAGGAGCAUGCAAGGAAUGUAUAGGCCAAAAUGUUUAUUCAGUAUCUCAAACAAAUAAACUCUUCAGAGCAAUCUUGUGCUUGUGCAAACUCUUCAAAGUAAGAAAGGCAGUUGCAAAACAAGUUGCUGGCUACUUAUAGCAUGUAAACUACCAAAACAGGUAUCUAAACCCAAUGUCAUGGUCGCUUCCAAGUUCAGCAUUUCAAUCUCAACUGGGCAUUAAUAUUUUAUAUUUAUUAAGCUUGCCAGGUCAAACAAAAGCACAUCUGAAAUCCCAUAUCAAUGUAUCAAAGAACUUCCCAUCAAGAUGUAAUAGCAACAGAAGCAGGAGGCACUUUCUUUUAUAUAGUAUAAAUCAAGAUAAAUUGUUCCUUCUCAUUUUGUCCCUUACUAUUCCAUGGCACGACAGCAAAUUACUGGAAAAAUAAUUAACAGCUUGAGUGAACAUAUGAGGAACAGACCUCAAAAGCUUGCUUAAGGUACUCGAGCUCCUUGUCUAGGUCAUUGACAGCCUGGGUGUAGGCCUGUGUUGGGGACGACUGACUUGUGGUAUGGAUCUGUCCACACAAUAAAAAAUAAGAGAAAGCUGAAUGAACCUAAACUGAAGAAAAGAACUGAAAAAAAAAGCAUCUGUCAUAC